UCCCAGGUCUGUAGAGCCUGUUCCCAGGUCUGUAGAGCCUGUUCCCAGGUCUGUAGAGCCUGUUCCCAGGUCUGUAGAGCCUGUUCCCAGGUCUGUAGAGCCUGUUCCCAGGUCUGUAGAGCCUGUUCCCAGGUCUGUAGAGCCUGUUCCCAGGUCUGUAGAGCCUGUUCCCAGGUCCGUAAGGUAUGUGCUUGAUGCUGGAAGGAGCCUGUUCCCAGGUCUGUAGAGCCUGUUCCCAGGUCUGUAGAGCCUGUUCCCAGGUCUGUAGAGCCUGUUCCCAGGUCUGUAGAGCCUGUUCCCAGGUCUGUAGAGCCUGUUCCCAGGUCUGUAGAGCCUGUUCCCAGGUCUGUAGAGCCUGUUCCCAGGUCUGUAGAGCCUGUUCCCAGGUCUGUAGAGCCUGUUCCCAGGUCUGUAGAGCCUGUUCCCAGGUCUGUAGAGCCUGUUCCCAGGUCUGUAGAGCCUGUUCCCAGGUCUGUAGAGCCUGUUCCCAGGUCUGUAGAGCCUGUUCCCAGGUCUGUAGAGCCUGUUCCCAGGUCUGUAGAGCCUGUUCCCAGGUCUGUAGAGCCUGUUCCCAGGUCUGUAGAGCCUGUUCCCAGGUCUGUAGAGCCUGUUCCCAGGUCUGUAGAGCCUGUUCCCAGGUCUGUAGAGCCUGUUCCCAGGUCUGUAGAGCCUGUUCCCAGGUCUGUAGAGCCUGUUCCCAGGUCUGUAGAGCCUGUUCCCAGGUCUGUAGAGCC
Long non-coding RNA from Oncorhynchus gorbuscha (pink salmon), 734 nucleotides. RefSeq lists it as uncharacterized. NCBI's taxonomy places the organism in Eukaryota, Metazoa, Chordata, Actinopteri, Salmoniformes, Salmonidae. The record is from RefSeq and is a predicted model, not a curated record. The transcript has 3 exons.